This 5431-nucleotide long non-coding RNA is filed under the name Octopus vulgaris (common octopus). Lineage: Eukaryota; Metazoa; Mollusca; Cephalopoda; Octopoda; Octopodidae. The record is from RNAcentral.
AGAGCGGCAUUCAUGUGACGUACACGUAUGCAAACCAUGAUACAGAACAACUUUAAUGUAUAUCCACUCAUCACAAAGAAAGGUACCUAACAAUGAAUCAAUGAGGAGGGUAUUGUGUUGCAUGAGUUCUGCUGUCUGGAGAUAAACUAGACGGUGUUCGUGAAAGAAUGAGUAUAUUAGGUUCUGAUGUGUGAAAGGAAACGUUGUCGGCCAGAGCACGUGAGGAAAGAUAGGCUGAUAAUAUAACAAAACAAAUAUGAAAAUGUGAAACUGGAAGACAUAUAUAGUGAAAGGACAUUGACUGAGAUAAGUGUGAGUGUGUGUGUGUAACUUUAUGCAAUAAUCAUAUAGUUUCAUAAGUUUCUUUAGCUUGCUUUAACCAUAGAGCUAAACCCAUGCUGGAGUAAGAACAUGUUUUUAUGAAUUGCUGCCCUUAUAUAUAUAUACCAUGUGAACGUGAACGACCAGGCUAUCAGAUGUUGCUACACAUCGCUGGUCACAAUGCGCUUCGCAUUGUUUUAGCCUUCAAAUGACGCCACCCCGCUGGCUAAGCGAGCAGGCCAGCAGAAGAAAGAGUGAGAGAAAGUGGCGGCGAAAGAGUACAGCAGGGAUCGCCACCAUCCUCUGCCGGAGCCUCAUGGAGCUUUUAGAUGUUUUCGCUCUCUAAACACUCGCAACGCCCGAUCUGGAAAGCGAAACCGCGAUCCUAUGACCGCGAGUCCGCUGCCCUAACCACUGGGCCAUUGCGCCUUCACACACACACACACACACACACACACACAUAUAUAUACAUACAUGUGGUGGGGUGGUAUGAACAACAAUAGGACAGGAAUUAUGUUAUCACUUUCAUUAGCUUACAACUGUUUCUAACCUACAACUGAUGCAUCAGUUCAGCCAGUUUUAAGUUAACUAUCCAUGAUAGAAAAAAGUGUUCCAUUUCUAACCUAUCCGACAUAGCUAAAACAGAUGACUAAAACCAUUCUCUAAUAUGCCUUCACAUUCUUCACACAAUUAAAUCUCAUAACCCCAAGCUCACCAGUAGGUUACACACAGUUGUGCUGCAAUAAUGUUAGUGGAGAACCCUACAUGGAGAUACUCAACCACUUCAAUCAACAAGGUAACUUUUACCUCUUACUGCAGCAUCUUUUAAGAUUAUCAUCUGAAAAGCAAGAAAUACUUUCAUGCAUCUUACACCCUAUAAACUCUUCCAACUCCAAUAUUUUAGUUAGUUUUAGUUCCUUGCCAAGAAGACCCCUACUAAUUUCAUGGAAUCUGCCAACCAAUCUUUCCUGAAUCAAGAUGAUGGUUUAGAAAGCAUCAGUCCUUCAGAUAAAGUUUCUCUGUUAUACUGGCCACUUGCUUUGAUUCUAAGCCUGCAACGCACACACUCAUCAAGACUCCACAAAACUUUCCUUACAAAUCUACUCAUCUCAACUUCCACAUACAUGUAAGCAUUAUGAAUAAAAACAUCCCUGGUCACUUCACAUUAAUAAUAUCAUUGUCCCUGUCAAUGUCUUUACCAUCACCUUCACAUAUAGCACUCCCCAGCUUUUUCAUAUUUUCACCAGACACUUCAAUCUUUCUUUCCAGGAAUCUUUUUCAAUCUUUGAAAACAUGCUACAAUAUGUCCCAUCUCUCAAGACAAGUAACAUUUUUGAUCAUACCAAUCUAGUGCAUUUAUUUCUAACAUCUCAAAGGCGAUGGCAACAGUUGCUAACAAUAACCUCCUUCAUCAACUUGAGUUUCUUUCCCUCUAGUUUUAGCAACAGCCUGCAUGAUUUGGUUAAACUAGCAUUUGACUUGCAUAUCAAAUGUCUGAAUAAGAACUUCCUUUCUAAACGUCCCACUUAUAAGUUUUAUUUAUCUUUCAUCUCUUGGAACGGAAAUUUCCUAUCAGAAUGCACUAUCUCAGCAUUGUGCUGAUGGGGCUCUCUCUUACCCACACUCUAUCAACUCUAGUAUGUGCCAAAGAUUGGUUGUGCCAUCCACAUUCUUCCUCCUGUAUAUUAACAAUCAUUCUGCUAUCAUCUCAAAUGAUACACACUCCCAUCCAUUUGAAACCACUCUUUACUCUUCUCAGGCCUUCCAUGCACAAAUGUUACUCACUUAGAAGAAGUACUGAAGAACAACCUCAAGAAACUGAACUUUUCAGGUGAGAUGACAAAGGACCGAGAUACCUGGCACCUGGCUAUACUCAAGAAGACCUGUACCCCACAGCAGAAGUGUUAAGACCAAUCCUUCUGGUAGUGUAAAAGCGCCCUUGUGGGGUCACAUGAAAGUGCCCACAUGGUACCACAUAAAAACAAAUGUGCAUCACCACAUAAAAGUGCCCAUGCAGUUCCACAUAAAAGCACUGGUUUGGUACCACUUAAAAUAACCAGUACACUUUACAAAGUGGUUGGCAUUAGGAAAGGCAUCCAACCAUAGAAACCAUACCAAAUCAGACUGGAGUCUGGUGCAGCUCCCCAGUUUGCCAGCUCUGGUCACACUGUCCAACCCCAACCCAUGCCAACUUAAACAAGGGAUGUUAAAUAAUGAUGAUGAUGACGAUGAUGCAACCUAGACAGAUGAUGGUGAUGCAACCUCAAAACUGUACUUCCUCUAUGAGUAGAAAUCAUUCUGUGAAGGGAAAAUGAAUCUUGUCUCUUUCAUAGCACAAAGACCCAACUACUACUCUUUUAAAAAAAACAAUCAUACAUUCCACCCUUCCUAGCCUUUAACAAGCAAUUAAAACCUUCAAACUCACAACAAAUACUAUGCUUUACUAUCUUUGAUCUUUGCUAACAACAUCAUACAACUAAAACUAUAUCCCAAAGAUUAUUCUUCCUCUUCAUAACAGGAAAAACAUUUCCAUUCAGAUUAGCUGUUGUCUUACUUGAAAGCUCAAGUAAGUGUCACGAUAAAAUACUGCUCCCAUAUCUAAGAGAGUAUUGCUACUACACACACACACAAUAUAUAUAUAUAUAUAUAUAUAUAUAUAUAUAUGUGUGUGUGUGUGUGUGCGUGUGUAUGUAUAUAGCUUUAUAAAGCUUGAAACAUGUGUACCGUUACAUCCUUUGUGUUCUGUUUUUGAUUUCAUUUGAUACAUAUACCCUCUCACCUCUGUUACUAGCUCGCAUAUACAGGUGCUUACACUUAUCAAGUAUUCACCUUAAAUUUAUGUAUGUAUAUAUAUAUAAUAUGUCUAUAUAUAUAUAUAUAUAUAUUGUUAGUUCAAGGAAGUUAUAUCCUCAUUAGGGAUUAUAUAAUCCAAGGUAUUCCACUGGUUAAUCCGUAUCAUAUAAUACGAAAGUUACUGAUAUAUGUUAGGGAUUAUUGAACUUAUAUAUCAUCGAUGUUGAAGGAAAAAGAAAAUGGAUAAAAAAUGGAUGUAUGAAUAAGUCAUUUGUAUGUUAUAAAAUGAUGAAAAUUUCUUUUAAAAAACAUAACAGUACAAAUAGAUUACAUGUUGUAGAGCUUGGAAAAUAGAAUAAAGGAACUUGCAUAUGUGUUUCAGUCCUAUCACUUAGUUGAUCAGAAGUUCUAAGCAUUUGGUUAAAUGCCAAGAAAGGUAUCAUAUUCUAACUAUAUGGGGAUAGGACUUCUUCAGGGUUAAUUAUGAGCUUAUGGGACUCACAAUUAACCCUGAAGAAGCCCUACCCCCAAUCACUAUUGAUUUUACACACACAUACACGCAUGCACGUACACACACACAUGCACGUACACACACACAUACACAUUAGUAGAUGUAUCCAAGAGAAACCAAUUUACCUGAUUGGUAAAUAUUCACACAUCAGUACACAAUAACCACUAGCCCAUGGACAUGAUGCAUCUUCACUCUGCCUCAUAUACAGUUACUGUAAUGACCCCCCAGCUCCUCAGAACUAGCUAGCUGCAUAACACACUUCAAUCCCCAGUAAAAUAGCCAUCCUUUCUCCUCUGUUCAUCCACAUUGUAUUUCAUCCACCUAGGUGCCACAUUAAGCAUUGUGUUCAGUCCUACAUAUUUAAGCCAUCACACUUUCUGAAAUUCUUUAGACCCCCCCACAAUUUUUUAACAAUUAUCAAUUUAAACUUGAACACAAACACUACCAAUGUUUCCAGUUUCCAAUGAUCUCCAAGAGUCAUGGGCCAUCUUUUUUCCUCCAAACUAAAACAUUUCAAAACCUACCCUCACAUCAUAUAUCUCAUCAAAUGAACGACAAUAAUACCAUUCCAGUAAUCACUUGCUAACUAUAACAACCACGUGACAAAAAAUUCCCCAAUUGUCUUUCAACCACUUGCCUACUGUCAUCACAACUCAUUCACACAUAAUCACCAAAACAAGAAAAUGUACACAAUACUUCAAGCUACAUACCUACACUGAAAUUGCAAGCAAACUUACUUAUCAGCAUUUUCCUAAAUCAGUCACCAAAGUUUACACUACACAAGGUCAUGGUUUAUGUGUAUCUCACAUUUUAUAUUUCUCUCAUCAACACACAAUAAGUUCUAACUUACAUGAAUCAGACAAUAUUGUGUAUUGAUGGAUGAAUAUUUAUCAAUAGGUCAGAUGAGUGACAUUUAGAAAACAGGAAUACAAAAAAAAAUACACAAUUACAAAGCAAAGCCACAUGUUUAUUACAAAUGGUUUGUAAUAAGCAUGUAGCUUAACUUAGCUUCAGUUAUAAGGCUCUUGAUUUUUUAAUUUUAUAUCCAGUUGGUUUCAUCUUUCCUUUUUAUUCAAUCCACUUAGAGCACUGAAACUGCAUUCCAUCAAAUAAGAAAAAUGGGAAGGGUUAACAGCAGUUCUCUAGUCAAACGAGUUGAAUUAUGAUAAUUAGUCUUGAUAUCAUCAGAGAACUACAUCAGAGUUACUUUUACUUUGAAUUAAGUUUUAACAGACACAUAGAUUUAUAUUUCAGAUAAUUCCUCUUGGUAUAGCAUUGGCUGAGUUUCAUAUCAGAAAAUCUGCAAAAUAAAUCAUAAGUCAGUAUUUUCAAAUGAUUCACAAUAGCAAGAAUCAUCAAAUACCUCAUGUUUAUUUAACCAAUACAGCUAGCUUUUUUUUUUUUUUUUCAGAAAUAUUCUUUUGAUGUAACUCCAGAAAUAUAAUGAAGAAUAAAUGAACAAGGAUUGUCCCGUGAAGUUCCAUGAAUUCAAUAAAUAUAUUCAGAUUUUCAAAAAUAUCUCUCAAGUCUAUCAACUGCUACUAGGAGUUUCAUUCAAGAUUUUCCUUUUACAAAUCACUAAGAAUAUUAAAUAGUUCCAUGAAUCUUUUCAGACAGUUGCCUUUUUUCAGCCAGGUUCCAUCUGUGAGAAACAAUAAUCUGACAUUGUUGGUGUUUUUAUCCUUUCAAAACUAUUUUAAAAGAUGCUUAUAUUCAGUAAUAGCUUUGACUAUGUUGAUACAUUUUAUUACUGAAUUAACAUUUCAUUUAGAAAUGAGGAAAACAUUUUAGCAACUAAAUUCUGAC